Molecule: ribosomal RNA, 1101 nt
Filed under: Vibrio fluvialis
Lineage: Bacteria; Pseudomonadati; Pseudomonadota; Gammaproteobacteria; Vibrionales; Vibrionaceae
Description: bacterial SSU rRNA
Rfam family: Bacterial small subunit ribosomal RNA
Source: RNAcentral
AUGAAGAAGGCCUUCGGGUUGUAAAGUACUUUCAGCAGUGAGGAAGGAGGUAUCGUUAAUAGCGGUAUCUUUUGACGUUAGCUGCAGAAGAAGCACCGGCUAACUCCGUGCCAGCAGCCGCGGUAAUACGGAGGGUGCGAGCGUUAAUCGGAAUUACUGGGCGUAAAGCGCAUGCAGGUGGUUUGUUAAGUCAGAUGUGAAAGCCCGGGGCUCAACCUCGGAAUUGCAUUUGAAACUGGCAGGCUAGAGUACUGUAGAGGGGGGUAGAAUUUCAGGUGUAGCGGUGAAAUGCGUAGAGAUCUGAAGGAAUACCGGUGGCGAAGGCGGCCCCCUGGACAGAUACUGACACUCAGAUGCGAAAGCGUGGGGAGCAAACAGGAUUAGAUACCCUGGUAGUCCACGCCGUAAACGAUGUCUACUUGGAGGUUGUGGCCUUGAGCCGUGGCUUUCGGAGCUAACGCGUUAAGUAGACCGCCUGGGGAGUACGGUCGCAAGAUUAAAACUCAAAUGAAUUGACGGGGGCCCGCACAAGCGGUGGAGCAUGUGGUUUAAUUCGAUGCAACGCGAAGAACCUUACCUACUCUUGACAUCCAGAGAACUUAGCAGAGAUGCUUUGGUGCCUUCGGGAACUCUGAGACAGGUGCUGCAUGGCUGUCGUCAGCUCGUGUUGUGAAAUGUUGGGUUAAGUCCCGCAACGAGCGCAACCCUUAUCCUUGUUUGCCAGCGAGUAAUGUCGGGAACUCCAGGGAGACUGCCGGUGAUAAACCGGAGGAAGGUGGGGACGACGUCAAGUCAUCAUGCCCCUUACGAGUAGGGCUACACACGUGCUACAAUGGGCGCAUACAGAGGGCGGCCAACUUGCGAAAGUGAGCGAAUCCCAAAAGUCGCGUCGUAGUUCGGGAUUGCAGUCUGCAACUCGACUGCAUGAGUCGGAAUCGCUAGUAAUCGUGGAUCAGAAUGUCACGUGAUACGUUCCCGGGUCCUUGUACACAUCCGCCCGUCACACCAUGGGAAGUGGCUGCACAGAGUCAGUAGUUACUUCGGAGGACGCUUGCCACGUUGGUGGCUCAUGACUGGUGAGUCGACACACGGGUAACCGGA